GCCUUUCAGUCCCUGCUGCCAGGCUUUCUGGAAGAGCCUUCUUGCUAAAUUGUUGUUUACACGUCUUUGGGAUAAGCUUGACAGCUCUGUUGGGUGGGAACACUUAGGAUUGGAGCAGAAAUGGUUUAGUUCGUGGCUUGGCCACUGCUAACGAGGCAUUUGUGUUUCUUACUAGCAGGCUUUUUACUGCUUGUGGGACCAAAGUGGAGAUUCAAAAGGUUGGCUUUACCUCUAUGGGGUCAGAACGUGUUGCAGUCCUUCUUUCCAGAUAGUCAAAUGCCAGGCUCCGUUCUGUAGCCCCACAGCGUAAAUACCCAGCUAUUAGAUGCUUUGAGGUUUUAGGUAAAUUCUUUUUAGGAGGUUAAAAUGUGGUCAUGUUCUUGUAUCGUUUUUAAAGCUUGCUUUCUAAUUUCUGGCCAAUAACAUUAUGGCCAGAAACAUAAAGCUGAAAAGUUUUAAUAAUAAGCCCCUACUUUGAUCUGUCAAGCCCACUGAAUGCAGAAUGUAGACGAUCAGAGUGUGAUCUCACACCUUCAGAGUAUUGGGAAAGCAUCGUUACCAAUUUGUUAGCAGUGCAGAAGGAUCAGGUUGGUGUUUAACGUUACUGCUAGAUUGCAAAACACAAGUUAUACCAUGCAUCUCAUCGUGUCAAGUGCUGGAUGCCAUCAUUUUCCCUUUCAAUUAAAACAGAAUUGAGAGCACUCCGAAUUCUGCAGGAUGAGUCUUUUAAUUUUGCCUCGAUCACGUAGCUGCUGUUCCACAAUACCGUGAGCUAACCGUCCUUCCUCCGUUUCAGCAUGACACAUGAAAAAACAUCAACGAUUCCUGCAAGGCCCAGAGGUGUAAUGAAGUCAGAAUGCAGAUUGCCUGCCACUCAUCCCUGUCUGCUGCAUGCAAGAACAAAGGCUGAUGGCAGUGUGGAGGGGAAUAGCAAGCUGUUAGUGACGUGUUGGGUUAACGUACCCUGGUGUAAUCUUGCAUAAAUGAAUGGAGAUAACAAACAAAAUGAAACUUUGCUGUUACUCAAAGAAGGCAGUCUGAUGUCUAGCUCCAAGGUGAUGGAAAUAGCCUGAUAUUUUGCUAAUUGUGCACGAGUUAGGAGAUCUGGCACGUCACUUUACCAGCCUGUUUCCUGCUGCCUGCUUGUCAGUAACCUCAGACUCAUGACUGACAGCUCUGCACUGCUUGCUCGAAUAUCUGCCUUCGUCCCAUUUAAUUUGUAAUUCACUGAGGCAGAGCAGCCUCUCCCGUUCCAAAACGACUAGAGGAGCCGCAGAUGCAGGCGCACCUGUCACGCAGAAGCAGCAUAGGAGCAUUUUGGUAGGCACACAUCAAAAAGUGGAGUCAAGCAGCAUCCUUGAAUCAAGCACCAUGUUGAGAGCACCUCGUGGUGCUGGAUGUGUCUUGAUUACAGGCUGUGAUUCUUCACUCGCCCUUUGGCACAUCCAGAGCUUGAGCCUCUGCCAGCUCCUGUGGAUGUGGAGGCUGAUGGCUCGCUUGGGCACAGCACGAAGGGAUGAUGCCUGACAGCAGCUCGCUUGCUGUGUUCUUAGCUACAAAACUAAGCUUGCAUGUGGUUCAGACAAACACACUGAAUACUUGUCAAAAUCUGAAAUUUCAUUUACUGACCCGUGGAAUGUGGCAUAAGUGGUAGACGAGAAAUAAAUGUGUUCUCCUGAAACCUCUUGUCAGCACCGUGCUGCUGUUGACUUCAGGUACCGCCUUGUUUAGCCUCGCAUUGGUGUCAGCAGAGGAAACGGAUGGAUUACAGCUGCCAAGUGAAGUGUUGUCAGAGAGUGGGGCUUUUUUGUGGAUUCCAGCCUUGGCAGACUUGUGCAGAAAGUGUCUGCAAACUUCAGCUUGUCAUGGUGUGCCGACUACCUUGUCAGCAGUGUAAAUACUUGGUAACAAAAUGUGUAAAGCCAGAAUGUUUAAUUCUUCUGGUGCUUAGAAAGAGCCGUAUUUCAAUAGAGAAGGCAUUCACCAUGUAACCUGCCAAUUGCUCUCUGUGUAAUUUAUGUGAUUAUUCAGCAGAACCUGUGAAUUAUGCACGAAUUGUCCGUAGCCUGCAUCCUCUUACCUCUGGUAUGAUCGAACGCUGCUGGGGUAUUAGCAUAUCGCUCAGCUCAAAACAAGCCCUUUGUAGCUUCCCGAGUGCGUUCACUGCUUGUUGGAGAAAACAACAGCUGCUUCUGAUACUUUAAUAUCAUUGAACAUAUGAACCCAGGAGCUGAAAUCCCUCUUGAAAAAUAAAUGGGAAUUACAUUUAAUAAGAGGAAGAGUCAGUAAACUAGGCUUGGGCGUAUUUUGAAUAUUCUGUUUAUUUCAUGUUGUCUGAAAACGCACAGAUGUCUGUCUGCUGUGCAGCAAUGCUUAAAUAAUUAGAUAGUCCUGAAAGACUUAACAGACAGCAACAAGGAUGAUCCUUUGGUUUAAGACUUAUUUUGCUUCUUUGGGAAUUAAAUUUAACUUUUCACUGCUUGCAGUUUGGGUUGUUGGUUUUGUUUUUCCACUGGCUGCAUUCAGGCCAAGCUUUUCACUUUGAGUUCAUUUUUGCUAUGAUGAUUAGUAGUAAUUGUAAGUGAUUCCAGUUUCGGUGCCUUUUAAUAGUAACCUGAAGAAAUGGUUUUAAAGAAAAAUAUUACAGAUUUGGUGAAUGUUGGUUUGCAGCAGAAUUCGUACAUACGUUUGAUGUUUGCUUUUGUGUGAGUAGAACAGGAUCUGAUGUCUGUAUUUAUAGUUUGACCAUCCAGCAUGCAAUUCUGAGCAGCUCCUGGGAGACAGGACUUGGAGCUGCACAAAUUGCCAGAGCCCUGAAGCAGCUGAGGACUCGUUAUCUUGGUAAGAGGACACAGCUACCUGUGUGGCAGAGGUGACAAGGGCUCGGGCAGUCUAAGUCACAGUUAAACUCGAGAUCUAAUUCCUAGCUCUUAUUAAGAACAUUACAUCAGUGGAAACAAAGCACGCUGAUGGAGAGCACGUUGCAUUUUUGCUGCUUUGCAGGAGGAAACACAACAUGGAGCAGAGAUGGAGAUGAUUCACCCUGUGAAGACAACAAGGCAGUCAGGGGCUGGGCAUUCAUUUGGACCGUCUUAGUCCUGAAUUAAUGCCCUGGCAUUUAACUUGCAUUCUCUUUCCUGUCAUUCCCUUAAUUUUGACUUGAGUGUGUCUCAGUCUUGCUGUAAUGUUCCUCCACAGGCAACCUUUUCAGCCUGCUUUGUCUCUGCUCUGACAAGUUCAGGUCUGAAGAAGCACAGACCUCUUUUCUCUGAUGUGGUGCUCAUCUUUCGUGUGGGUGCCAAAGGUUCGUGUUAUACAGAAAAGAUAAAAAGCAUGAGAGGAGAAGCCGCCUAUUUUAUAAACUAAGUUUGACUUUCUGCUUUUUUAAAUUUUUCUACAAAAUAAUUCCCUUUUCUGGUUUUCAGACUGUGACUUAAGUCAGCCCAGUGCUGCACUGACUGCAGUCACAGGCUCUUGUCCUAAUGCUUUACUUUCUAACAUCUUAGCAACAUCACCCCCACAAUCUAGUGCGUGUUGUGGUAAACAGAAAACGUUUGGCAAGGAGAAUGGUCUUAAGACUGAUUCCCUAACAGUACAUAACUCUCAUGUCUCUCUAGCUGGUGUAAGCACUGCAUUCUGCAGGCAGUCCUGGCUGUAAUUCCUUGGCUUCAAGGAAAUUCUCUCUCUAGUGUGGUUGAAGUCGGUGGCAAUCAAUUUAACAUGAUUAAUGUAAGUUAUUUUAAGUGGGGAGAGAUGCAGAAUUGCAAGGCACUUCAGGUUUAAUUUUUUGAUUCAAGCUUCCCAGACUGUAAAAAUACAGCUGGGUAGGGGUAGGAGGGGAAUUCAUCCGUACACUAAACAAUCUGGUCUGGAACACAUCGGGAUACGAGAUAAUAGCAAUUAGGUGUAGAACAAAAGCAUUUCUCUGGAGCUGAGAGUAAAGGAUUUGAGCUGACAAGGCUGACACUUCCCUGCAUCAUCCCUCAAGACUAAAAAUUAGACUUUUAAUAGAAUUUCCUUUGUUUGGAGCCUCACUCCGGUCUGGGUAUAUAUGCCAGCCUUGGUGCUGCUAUUGCUUUUGAAGGAUUUCUGUUUUCUCUCCCUUGGUUUCUCCAAUAAAACUGGGAUAUUGUUUUGGAGACCGUCAGUCUAAUAUUCCUACAACAGCAGCAAAAUAAUCUGAAGAAAUAUAAAAUGAUGGAUUACUGAUUAAAAUGAGUGAGGAGACACUGGAAAAUUUUGCUAGGCAGCUGGCAGGUUACAUGAAGAGCUUGUGUUUUUAAUUUGACUUGAAGUUGGAGCUCUCAAUAUAAGUACGUAUUUGUUCUUUCUUGCUUAAGCCCAGCGUAACCGAAUAAACUGUAAAUCUGAAUCAUGUUAGGAGGGCUGCUCUGCAGCGACAGGUUGUCCAGCACAUCAGCCUCGAGGCAUUUUCAAAAGGCAUUUCACAGAAUCACGGCGCUGUUCAGGUGGCAGGGACCUCUGCAGAUCCAUCUAAUCCAGCCCCUGAGCUCAUGGUGGAGUCAGCUGGAGAAGGCUGCCCAGGACGGUGUCCUGUGGGGUGUUGGGCAUCUCCAAGGAUGGAGACUGCAACCUGCUCCUGUGCUCCAACACUCUCACAGUAAUUUAUUUUCCCAAUGUUUACUACUUUGCUUGGCAGUCUUUUUGUAGAGGAACAGGGCUUUGCAGUGGUGCCAUCCAUCCGUCCCCUUCCCCAUCAAUCCUCAUACCCUUCAAACACACACUCCAAUCUCCAUCAAACCCAACAGAGCAGCAGCAUCUCUAAAUCCAGUUCCCAUAACCUCCAUGAAAAUCAUCAGCAGGAAUAAAGAGAGGAUGGUCUGGGAGUGAGCCACCAGGAAAGCCUGUGAGAGCACGUGGAGCUCAAAGUAGAGCUUCGCCCUUCUCCCACCUGCACCUAGGAGGAUGGGGAACUGGAGAGAGGAGGGGAGUAUCAAGGAAGCUGUAUUGUGCUGGGGGGAGGAGAGAAGUAAUGAUAGCAAAACCUGACUGCCUACAGAUCUGCGUGCUAUCUUUGCUUGCUGAACGUAUGUUUUAAAGCCCGUUCUCGAUUUUGCUAGGCGUUCUGUAGCUGUGUGGGUAAGAGCGUGUGGGCUGCAGAUAGACUCUUGCACACUGACUAAAUGAGGCUUUAUUCUGGUCGGGAGAGCUACCCACAGGCUAUUCAAACACCGAGGGGAGCCCUGCUGCUUCAUACUUGAUUACAGGUUCUGCCUGUUUUUGCUUGCUUUUGGCUUUUUCCUUGUUUAGCCAUAUUUGCAUUUGUCAGUAAUCAGACUGCAAUGCUCAUUGUUCUUUUGGGGAUUUUUGCACAGCUCACAUUCUUUAAUUGACAGUUGCACCAACAAUAGAAAGACGUAUGUUAUUCAGAUUGCUUAAGAGGUCAGUGCUUUGAAAUGACUUCAUCUUGUGUUAUUAAUUCUUCAUUGUAAAAUUGAGUAUCGCAUCAUAGCUGAGUCUGUGAUGUCGCGCUUAUUGCUUGGCAAGAAAUUACAGUGAAAAAAGGAAGUGCCCAAGAGUUUGCUGUGGGAUGCGAGGCUAUGGAAGAGAAGAGCUGGAGGUGGUAUGAGCACUUCUAUAUACACACAAAACAGUGAGAACAAUAAGAUACUCUUAAUGAAACUUAUUAGCAUAAGAAAUGUCUUGCCAAAUGUGAUGAUUGAUUGCAACAAGACUUCAGGAACCCUUUGGUCUUCGUUUGGUUUCCUGCUGCUGCUUCUCCUGUUGAAGUAUGUCAGGACAGCUCGGCAGACAGUUCCUUCUGCAGGAUGAUCCAAUUAAUCUUGGAAAUGAAACGCUUGAGGACAUCGGUAGGCUAUAACUUGACCUUUUUACUACCUUUGUCUCUUCUUAAGCAGCUUUGGGCUUCUUGGUACCUGUUUAUUUUACCUGAGAGCUCAUCUGGUUGUGCCAGUGUUUGUAAUACUGAUACACCAGGCUUAAACAUUUGGAUAAUUGCUUUGCUUGGCAAUCGGGGAGCCUGAAACUGAUGGUUUGUGUGUUCAAGUUGCACUCUUACCGAAUGCUAAACCUUUCUUUUCAAUGCUACCCUUCAUAGCACAAACACGUAGCCGAUUUGAGCUAGGACAGCCACCUCCAUCCUCGAUUUUUCUUCCACUGCUCUUCCAGAGAGACUUGGAAAGAGCUACCAAAAUAGAUCCGUGCCUCCUCAGCUUCUUGAUUUGUGUGUGCACCGGGGUCCAAGAAUUUAGGACACAGAUUGGUAUGUUUUUAUCUUUAGCUUGUUCAGUGCUGGACUUUGUCAACAGCUCAAUUGAUGCAAUUGGCUCAAGGAAGGGCAGGCAGCAGAAAGGCUGUUCAGCGCGUGUCCAGGCAAGGGUUAUCCUGCUCUCAUUAUGUUAGCUUCAAGCUGGCAUUAUCAGGCCCUCAUUUUUUUUAAAAAGUUGUUUGCAUUGCAGAAUAUUUGAGUCAACAUGUUGCUUAGAUUAGUGUGCUCCUGUCCUCGCUGUGCUGCUUUAUGUACUCGUGUUUGAGCUUCUCUUGGCCUGGGAUCUGGCUUUGUCCGUUGCCUGGUAUAACGUUUUCCACUUAACCUCAUUCCCUUGCUUAAAUUGAUAGCCCUGCGCAAGCCCUUGACAUCCUGAAAUCUCUCUGGCUAAUAGGAAGUAGCUGGUCCUGAACAUUUUCUUCAGCAGCAGCGCUGCUUAUUUGUAACAGCACAAAGCUGUGACGUGAUGAAAGUGUGAGGGUUUUUUAACCUCCUUCAAGUAAAAUAAGAAGCUCGCAUUUAUUCUUGGAUACUGAACCGAGUAUCCAUUUCCCAAUGUUUUCUAAGAGGUUAUGAGACAUUGAAGGAUUGCUCUAAUUAAAUGCACCCACAAGUGUAUGUGAGGAUCUGAAGUAUAUGUUCACCUUUGGGCAGACAAACCUGUAAUCUUACGUGGAGGCCAGCCCUCUAUUUGUAAUGAAUCCCAAAGCACUUGUAACUGAUUCAGCUCGUGUUGCAUCAAGACUUUCUCACUAAUAUUUGCUAAGGUAGGGCAAACACCAGCCCUUCUGCCUUAGCUGAAGACUGGCAGGGAUUUGGAGCUAGGGGGAAAAUCAGAGCUGGUUCUGAGGCGUUCUCGUUAUUGUGAUAUUUGUUGUGAACUGCAGGACUCCAGCAGGUCCUGUUUGUUGGGGACAUCACAUUUGGGGGUGGGAAGCUGUUAAGCAGCAGGACAGGCUUCACAAGAGAUGACCUUGGUCUUCUGCAUUAGAGCCUAGCCUUUGCUUUCCAAGAUUUACAGGUCAGAAAAGAAUCUAGCCCUAGGAAGGCUGAACACUUGAGAUUCCCCCCCCAGAAAACCACAUCUUUAAUUCUUCAUCUCGGGAUUUUAUUGCUCUUUGAUUACAGGUGAGCUGCUCUAAUACGAACAACAGUACCACCCCAGUCCAAAAGCAUCUCUUUGGAAGAAUCUCACCCUGUUAGUCAUUACAUUUAUUUAUCUCCAUUAUUUAUUGCAGCAAAUCCUUUGCUUCCUUUGCACAGCCGACCACCCUGCUUGGUAUUUGUUGUUCUUCUUGGAAUUGCAGCAGCUGCAGUAGGACAAACGUUGUUUUUCUGUAGCAUUCAUGCAUUUAGAGAAUUGCACUGUUUUUUUUCUUGGAUUUCCCCACCAUUUUAUGCUGUCCGUGUUACAGCCUCAAAGCCUUUUCCCACUGAGCACAGAGUGCAUUAAGCAGCAUGUGUGAAUGAGCAACAGCACAUCUGCUAAUUGAGCUAACAGAUGUAAACAGGAAGAAAAGUUACUUUUGGAAAGCUAGAAAUAUUUAUAGGAACCAUCAUCCAUCUUUCCUAACACUGUGAUUAUGGAUGGAGCCUCUUUCUGGUUCACUAGAGUUGAUUAAGCUGUUGCAGAUGGUUUGACUGGAGGUAAUGACAGGAAUGCGAAAGAAAUGCAGAUGUCUUAAAGCUUUUGAGUUACGUGCUUUAGGCAAAUAAGUGGCUGCAAAGGAAAGCUUUUGUUUUGGAUUCUU
This is a long non-coding RNA of Oxyura jamaicensis (ruddy duck), 8001 nucleotides long. RefSeq lists it as uncharacterized. NCBI's taxonomy places the organism in Eukaryota, Metazoa, Chordata, Aves, Anseriformes, Anatidae. The record is from RefSeq and is a predicted model, not a curated record. The transcript has 3 exons.